UUGGUCUAUGUUCAAUACUAGAGAGGGACAUCCCCGUUUGUGAAACUGCUCUGACAAACGCCAUAUUUGCCGUCAAAGUCGGAGCACGAUAAUAGUCACCAGUGCCAAAGACAACUUUGUUUUUUAAUGCCAACUUCCUAGUUGUUGGGAGGCCCAUCAUUCGUUCUGAAGGAGUAUCGGAAACAACCCUGUGACAAUUUAUUAACUUGUCAGCUCUAAGUUUCUCAUUGGGCCCUCCACACAUUAGUACCAACUCCUUAAAUUCUGAAAGAACACUCUCACAAAUUAUGCCAAGCUUCCCACAUAGGACUUUACCAAACUCCACAUGGAUUGGAUUUUGAAGUUCAGACAUUAUCUAGCACAAAAAUUGAGGAAAGCUUUUGUCAAUUCACUUGAUGCUGAUAAAAACCAGAAUAGUGUGUAA
RNAcentral lists this long non-coding RNA (424 nucleotides) under Medicago truncatula (barrel medic). Its description in RNAcentral is "lncRNA gene36864". Lineage: Eukaryota; Viridiplantae; Streptophyta; Magnoliopsida; Fabales; Fabaceae. The record is from RNAcentral.